CUGCCAGCUAGGCCUCUUUGACACGAUCGAUCAUACAUCCAUCGAUGAUCGAUCCAACACAAACACAGGAAGACGCGCGCGAUGAACAUAUAUAUGCUGCAUGCAUGCAUGCAUGCGCAUGACGAUGAUAGCAGAUUCGUGAAGAAACACACCCAAAACAAAGCAAAGCAAAACAAAAUGAAAGCGAUGAACGAAGAGCGAUGUGUACUAGUAGCUUAGCUUGUACUUGUUGCUGAGACCUGAGAAAUCAUAUAAUUAUUAUUUAGCCCGGCCGGCCUGGUGCAGGCGGGCGUGUGCAUAUAUAUCCAUGGAUCGGGAAACGACGACGAUGGAGAGACGACGAGAGGCAGGCAUGCAUGCAUGCAUGCAUGGCGACGAUGAGAUGAGAUAGAUCAGGAGGAGCACUGGAAUCCCGAGGGGACGCGCCUGCCGCAGUAGUUGACGAGGAGGCUGAGGUUGAUGGGGAGGUUGAGGUUGAUGCCCAGGAUGUUGGCUCGCAGCGCGGUGCAGAGACACACCGCCGCCUCAAGGUCCGCCAGCCCCUGGAUCAGCGUGCAGCACGGCGUCCUCGGCGGUGUCCCCAGGUUCACGUUGAUCAGCCCGUUCAGCACGUUGGCGCACACGCCCAACUUCAGCGUGUCCACAGGGCAACGACCGCGCGUCCCGCCGCCGCCGCCGCCGCCGCCGCCGCCUCCUCCGCCGCUCCCUCCUCCACCACUGCCGCCCCCACCGCUCCCUCCGCCGCCUCCGCUCCCACCACCACCAGAUCCUCCGCCUCCCCCGCCUCCACCUCCCCCGCCACCACCGCCUGGUGGACUAGGGCAGGAGCCGCCGCACCUGCAGCCACAUGCGUCGGCGAAACCGAACAAGAGGAGGUUCAGGGCCAGCAGCGAGGCCACCAAGGCCACUUUCUUCGCCAUCUCGCUACCACCACGUACUCCUACGUACGUACGCAGCACACAGCAGUCGUAGCUUGGUUUCUAGCGUACCUGCAGAUCAGACUGCAGGUCGCUAGUGUGUGUG
Molecule: long non-coding RNA, 1023 nt
Filed under: Sorghum bicolor (sorghum)
Lineage: Eukaryota; Viridiplantae; Streptophyta; Magnoliopsida; Poales; Poaceae
Description: long non-coding RNA (SBIC_LNC001837)
Source: RNAcentral